GCGUUUCUCGGAAAAUUAUACGACUCUUCAUUAGGGUCAUGAUGAAUGCCUGCUUUUCAAGUUUUCAUGUGGAUCUGCUACUGAUCAGGGUCUGGUGAAAGGCAAGGACAAAUGGCUUGUUUUGUCCAGUCCAUGGUGGGCAAGGUCUUUGUCUCUGGGUUGCGAGAAUAUCUUUGACCGUCCAUAAUCUCUGGUCAGCUGCAUACAUCAUAUUCUUAUAAUAUCAUAUGUGAUUUCCAGUGGUGUUGUGUAAAAAGACUGCUUGUUAUAGCUUCAGUUUGGCCUGGUUCAGUUUGGUUGCUCAUGUUCAUGUGUGUCUUCACCUCAGAAAAAUUAGAAGGAAAUCAAAUUAUCUUUUGGCCCGCUUCUCAUUUUUAUUUAUAUUACAAUUGUUAUUACUUGUGAUAAUAAUAGUUUUAGUUUAUAAAAAUUAUCAAUAUUGGUAAGUGACACUAAAUUAAUGUCUCUCUUUGCUUUGCUACCUCUCUUAGAAUUUAGGAGGAACUAGAUAAUAUUUGUCUGAUUGAUUUUAUUUAUUAGUAAUGAUUUAUGGGAACAAAACACUGAUAAUGUUCUUCCUUUUUUCGAGUGCCUUCUUUGCUUUUGCUUUUUUAUCAAAUUUUGUUCCCUUUUUUGAGUCAUGUCCCGUGUGGAUAUUUUGUGACCAUGAUUGUGUCUAUUGAUCUUCAUGCACAUCCUUAUUUGGUAUGCUAAUGCUCUACUUACAAGUGAACAAGAAUCUCAGUGUGUAGUGUGUAAACUCUCGACCACCUCUAUAUCUAUCUGUAGUGCUAUAUUCUUUUGGGUGGAACUUAUAGCAUGUUGGUUCCAAAUGGAUAGUGAGUGUCUCACCCCGUGCCCUCUUACUCAAACUAGCUUGUAGAAUUAUUUCAUAUUUUAGGACAAGGAUUAAUGGCUACUUUUUAUAGAUAAAUUUGAUGCUUAUUUGGUGUUCACUUUUGUUGAUACAGAAGGCAAAUUGUACUUCUUAAAGUUAUGGUGGUUUCUACAUUUUGAUUUAGAGCCCCGGUCUGCGGGGUGGGGACGCAUGGGUCCUUGGUCCGGCGCUGUCGACAUGAUGUUGUGCGCGGGUCUUGCUUUCUUGCUAGAUAAGUAUUUAGGAAAAAUCUAAAAUACUCCUUCAAGGUUUAUACAUCAAUUGCAAAGGGUUUUAGGAAUGCGUCACUAUAUUGUUUUGGAUUUAUACAUGAACCGCAGAGAGUUUUAUAAAUGUAUCAUUAUAUUGUUUUAGGUUUAUAUAUGAACUGCAAAAAACUUUAGGCAUGUGAAAAUCAGAGCUCAUGAGGCAUGUGAUAUUCUUUUUCUGUGGUGGCGUGUAUAUAUUAUGUGAUUUUACUUCCUGUUUGGUUUCUUGAUAAUCCCUAAGUGCAAGGAAUCAUCGUAGCAAUUUCUAAAGAUGGAAGUGAUAAGUAUUGAGUGUCGAACCCACAAGGAGCUAAAG
This 1462-nucleotide long non-coding RNA is filed under the name Triticum aestivum (bread wheat). RNAcentral's name for it is "long non-coding RNA (TAES_LNC023164)". Lineage: Eukaryota; Viridiplantae; Streptophyta; Magnoliopsida; Poales; Poaceae. The record is from RNAcentral.